AGUGAACGCUGGCGGUAGGCCUAACACAUGCAAGUCGAACGGCAGCACAGUAAGAGCUUGCUCUUACGGGUGGCGAGUGGCGGACGGGUGAGGAAUACAUCGGAAUCUACUUUUUCUUGGGGGAUAACGUAGGGAAACUUACGCUAAUACCGCAUACGACCUACCGGUUAAAGCAGGGGAUCUUCGGACCUUUCGCGAUUCAAUGAGCCGAUGUCGGAUUAGCUAGUGGGCGAGGUAAAGGCCCACCAAGGCAACGAUCCGUAGCUGAACUGAGAGGAUGAUCGGAGACACUGGAACUGAGACAAGGGCCAGACUCAUACGGGAGGCAGCAGUAGGGAAUCUUCGGCAAUGGGCGAAAGCAUGACGGAGCAACGCCGCGUGAGUGAAGAAGGUCUUCGGAUCGUAAAACUCUGUUAUUAGGGAAGAACAAAUGUGUAAGAAACUAUGCACGUCUUGACGGUACCUAAUCAGAAAGCCACGGCUAACUACGUG
RNAcentral lists this ribosomal RNA (492 nucleotides) under uncultured bacterium. Its description in RNAcentral is "partial 16S ribosomal RNA". It matches the Rfam family "Bacterial small subunit ribosomal RNA", at positions 29 to 507 of the family's 1533-position model. The record is from RNAcentral.